GCCAGACUCCUACGGGAGGCAGCAGUGGGGGAUAUUGCACAAUGGGGGGAACCCUGAUGCAGCGACGCCGCGUGGGUGAAGGAGCGUUUCGGCGCGUAAAGCCCUAUCGGCAGGGAAGAAGGAGGACGGUACCUGACUAAGAAGCCCCGGCUAACUACGUGCCAGCAGCCGCGGUAAUACGUAGGGGGCAAGCGUUAUCCGGAUUUACUGGGUGUAAAGGGGGCGCAGACGGCAGCGCAAGCCAGGAGUGAAAGCCCGGGGCCCAACCCCGGGACUGCUCUUGGAACUGCGCGGCUGGAGUGCGGGAGGGGCAGGCGGAAUUCCUGGUGUAGCGGUGAAAUGCGUAGAUAUUAGGAGGAACACCAGUUGCGAAGGCGGCUCUCUGGACUGUAACUGACACUGAGGCACGAAAGCGUGGGGAGCAAACAGGAUUAGAUACCCCGGUAA
RNAcentral lists this ribosomal RNA (447 nucleotides) under uncultured bacterium. RNAcentral describes it as "partial 16S ribosomal RNA". It matches the Rfam family "Bacterial small subunit ribosomal RNA", at positions 330 to 793 of the family's 1533-position model. The record is from RNAcentral.